This 449-nucleotide ribosomal RNA is filed under the name uncultured bacterium. RNAcentral describes it as "partial 16S ribosomal RNA". It matches the Rfam family "Bacterial small subunit ribosomal RNA", at positions 354 to 796 of the family's 1533-position model. The record is from RNAcentral.
GUCGAGAAUCUUUCACAAUGGGGGCAACCCUGAUGGAGCGACGCCGCGUGGAGGAUAAGGUCUUCGGAUUGUAAACUCCUGUCAUGCGUGAACAAGGUUGCUUGGAUAAUACCUGAGCAAAUUGAUGGUAGCGCAAGAGGAAGAGACGGCUAACUCUGUGCCAGCAGCCGCGGUAAUACAGAGGUCUCAAGCGUUGUUCGGAAUCACUGGGCGUAAAGGGUGCGUAGGUGGCGUGGCAAGUCAGAUGUGAAAGCCCGGUGCUCAACCUCGGAACUGCAUCCGAUGCUGCCAUGCUAGAGUACUGGAGGGGUGACUAGAAUUCUCGGUGUAGCAGUGAAAUGCGUAGAUAUCGAGAGGAAUACCAAAGGCGUAGGCAGGUCACUGGACAGUUACUGACACUGAGGCACGAAGGCCAGGGGAGCGAACGGGAUUAGAUACCCUGGUAGUCC